This 28-nucleotide non-coding RNA is filed under the name Bombyx mori (domestic silkworm). The record is from RNAcentral. Lineage: Eukaryota; Metazoa; Arthropoda; Insecta; Lepidoptera; Bombycidae.
UAACAUAACAAAGACACGAAGCGCGCGC